RNAcentral lists this ribosomal RNA (343 nucleotides) under uncultured bacterium. RNAcentral describes it as "bacterial SSU rRNA". It matches the Rfam family "Bacterial small subunit ribosomal RNA", at positions 30 to 355 of the family's 1533-position model. The record is from RNAcentral.
AGUGAACGCUGGCGGCAGGCCUAACACAUGCAAGUCGAGCGGCAGCGGGUCCCCGCGAGGGGAUGCCGGCGAGCGGCGGACGGGUGAGGAACACAUCGGAAUCUGCCUGGUUGUGGGGGAUAACGUAGGGAAACUUACGCUAAUACCGCAUGAGACCCUGAGUCGACGGACUGGGGGUGAAAGUGAGGGACCUUCGGGCCUCACGCGACCAGAUGAGCCGAUGUCGGAUUAGCUAGUUGGCGGGGUAACGGCCCGCCAAGGCGACGAUCCGUAGCUGGUCUGAGAGGAUGAUCAGCCACACUGGGACUGAGACACGGCCCAGACUCCUACGGGAGGCAGCAGU